This 119-nucleotide ribosomal RNA is filed under the name Leucoagaricus sp. SymC.cos. Lineage: Eukaryota; Fungi; Basidiomycota; Agaricomycetes; Agaricales; Agaricaceae. The record is from RNAcentral.
AUCCACAGCCAUAGGACUCUGAAAGCACUGCAUCCUGUCUGAUCUGUGCAGUUAACCAAAGUGCUGCCCAGUUAGUACUAUGGUGGGGGACCAUGCAGGAAUCCUGGGUGCUGUGGUUU